GAUGAAGAACGUAGCGAAAUGCGAUAAGUAAUGUGAAUUGCAGAAUUCAGUGAAUCAUCGAAUCUUUGAACGCACAUUGCGCCCCCUGGUAUUCCGGGGGGCAUGCCUGUCCGAGCGUCAUUACAACCCUCAAGCUCAGCUUGGUGUUGGGCCCCGCCGCCCCGGCGGGCCCUAAAGUCAGUGGCGGUGCCGUCCGGCUCCGAGCGUAGUAAUUCUUCUCGCUCUGGAGGUCCGGUCGUGUGCUCGCCAGCAACCCCCAAUUUUUUUCAGGUUGACCUCGGAUCAGGUAGGGUUACCCGCUGAACUUAAGCAUAUCAAUAAGCGGAGGA
This 329-nucleotide unclassified non-coding RNA is filed under the name soil metagenome. Its description in RNAcentral is "partial contains 5.8S ribosomal RNA, internal transcribed spacer 2, and large subunit ribosomal RNA". The stretch from base 1 to 120 matches the Rfam family "5.8S ribosomal RNA", at positions 35 to 154 of the family's 154-position model. The record is from RNAcentral.